RNAcentral lists this long non-coding RNA (1242 nucleotides) under Aotus nancymaae (Ma's night monkey). Its description in RNAcentral is "lncRNA (ENSANAG00000038707.1)". The record is from RNAcentral. Lineage: Eukaryota; Metazoa; Chordata; Mammalia; Primates; Aotidae.
AAGUGAGCUAAACCCAAAGAUGAUCUCGAGCUACAGGCCCCGGGACAUGUAGUGUAGCCCGCCGCCUCCGAGAAGCCCCCGGGAUUUCUAGGGGUUGAAAAGUCGGAGACGAGAGGAGCUGGAGGAGGACCUAUUAAGAAAGGAGCAGGCCAGAGGGAGGAGGCUUAGGGAGGGAGACAGCCUCCAGCCCUGUUCUUCCCUUCCAGAGUAGAUGAAGAGUUCCUGCUCUCUAGGAGAUGGUUUAAGUGGAAAGAGAGGGAGGGGAAUGCGCGGAGAGGGAAGAAAGGUGAAAGGACAGAAUAAAGGAGAAAAUAGAGGGAAAAAAGAGAGAGAAGAGAGGACAGACGAGGCGAAGGAGAAAAGGGGCGAGAGAAUGGUGCAAAAGGAAGAGGAGGUGGAAGAGCUCCAGCAUCAAUUGGCCAAGCCUGGAUCACUAGCCCCUACCCUAGAGAUGCAACGAGGAAGUGGAUCUGCCUCCUGAGAUGGGAAAUUCUCCAGCACACAGGGAAGGGAGUUCAGAUGUUGGGCAGACACAGGAUGAAGCAAGGUAAAUGUCUACUACACCCAGCACCAAAAAAAAAAAAAUUUCUUAGAGAAAGAAAGGGACCCUAUUUGCUUUCAUCUUGAACUUCUUGUAGAAGACCAAACAAAAUAAAAUCCUGACUAGUUAGCAUUUCAAAACACCUAUGUGGAAUUGGAUGCUUAACCGGGGAAACCUUUCUCCCUUGGAGAAGGGGAGAAUAGGGGAGGGGUGACCAUCUACCCAAUGGUUACAGGUAUAUGAGGUAACAUUAAGAAUCCUAACAUUAAGAAUCCUGUCCACAAGGCACCAAAUACUUUGUGAUGAAGGAAAAUUAGAAGAGAAAGAGAAAAAGGCAGCAGAAUGAAGGGGAGAGCAGAAAAUAGCUACCUGAAAACUGACAUUUAAUAAGGACUUCCUUUAAGUCAGGCAUUAUGUCUUCUAUGGCCAUUGCUUCAUUUUAUCCAAAGUCAUUUCUUGGCUCCAAUGAGUAGAUUAAGAAACAAAUACAUACAGGUGAAGCAGUGAUGUUAGGAGAGAUAAUGUAAAAGAUAAUGAUGAAUGAUAAUUUAUGCAGUGCACUAACUCUUGCCUAGAAAUAUGGUAAGGACCCAUCAGCAUUCUAUUGGAGUGAUUGAGAGUCCAUACUUUAGAGAAAAAUUGCCUAUGUUCAAAUUUCAGCCCUACCAACUACCAGUUGUGUGACCCUUCAAUAAAUCACU